CGUUCCCGGAGCUUGUACACACCGCCCGUCACAGCACGAAAGUUGGGAGUGCCCGACGUGCCUAUUUAACUAGGCCCUAAGGCAAGCUCAGUAAUUGGGCUG
This 102-nucleotide ribosomal RNA is filed under the name uncultured bacterium. RNAcentral's name for it is "partial 16S ribosomal RNA". It matches the Rfam family "Bacterial small subunit ribosomal RNA", at positions 1369 to 1482 of the family's 1533-position model. The record is from RNAcentral.